Non-coding RNA from Ciona intestinalis (vase tunicate), 311 nucleotides. Lineage: Eukaryota; Metazoa; Chordata; Ascidiacea; Phlebobranchia; Cionidae. The record is from RefSeq and is a predicted model, not a curated record.
GAACAGUUUCAGUGACUUCAAGUUGAGAAUUAUUGCUCAUGUUUGGAUUUCUACUCAUGGCGUAGAAAGAAAGCUGAAAAAUCAGUUUAAAUGUGUCAGUGACAAAGAAUGAGAGAAUGUACUUGUUGGCUCCACAAAAGGGACUUGUCAUUGGCUUCAUUGGGUCUAAACAUCUGAUGAAAUCUAUUUCGGAAUAUUGCAAGUUGACCUGUUAGAAGAGCAUCAACUUAAGAGGUAGAAAGAAAAAAGUACGGGUAUUAAUAAAUAUAAACUAUCUAUACAUCAUAAAAAAUGUCUUUGCAAUUACUUGA